GCCCCCGUAGCGUAAUGGAUAGCGUGCAGACCUUCGGAGUCUGCGGUGAGGGUUCAACUCCUUCCGGGGGCA
Molecule: transfer RNA, 72 nt
Filed under: Candidatus Nealsonbacteria bacterium CG23_combo_of_CG06-09_8_20_14_all_36_125
Lineage: Bacteria; Candidatus Nealsoniibacteriota
Description: tRNA-Arg
Rfam family: tRNA
About the family: Transfer RNA (tRNA) molecules are approximately 80 nucleotides in length. Their secondary structure includes four short double-helical elements and three loops (D, anti-codon, and T loops).
Source: RNAcentral